RNAcentral lists this long non-coding RNA (1179 nucleotides) under Anser cygnoides (Swan goose). RNAcentral describes it as "lncRNA (ENSACDG00005018551.1)". The record is from RNAcentral. Lineage: Eukaryota; Metazoa; Chordata; Aves; Anseriformes; Anatidae.
AUGAGCUGGGUCCCCUCCUGCGCCCCGUCCCAGCAGGGAGCCCCUGGCUGCUGCCACCCACCAGCACGGGGCGAAUCCCCGUGGGUUUCGGGCCCAUCGGUGACCCCCUGCGGCGGCGUGGCGGGGUGCUGGCGGGCAGCUCCCAGCCUCAGCCCUGCUCCUCGUAACCCCGACCCGUGCAGGGAGCCACCAGCCAUCCUACGCCCAGGGGGCUGCUCGUGCAGCCAGGCUGGCCCCAGUGACCCGCUGCACGUGUCUGCGUGGCCACGGCCAGCAGAGUCCCCCCGACACGAGAGCUGCACCCCACUGCCCCUUCAGCCACAGGGUGAGUGCGUUUUAAUAACUGCAACUGGGGACGGGGGAGAACCGGUCAAAUUCACGUUUCGCCGCAUCUCUGGGGGUGCUGCUGGGUUGCAGCAUCCCUCAGGGGGUGGGAAAAGAGGGGGGCUGGGGAGCACAGGGGGGCAGGUACCCGCGUGUAGCUGGGCAGGGUGGCACGAGUACAGCGCUGCGUGUCCGGCUUGGGCACCGCACAGGUCCGUGACAGCAAUGCCCAGCCCCCUGUGCCCUCGGUGUCACUUGUUCCACACCACGCAUGGCAGCUCACGGCCUCCUGGCUCUGCAAGGCGAGGAUGGGGUGGGCUUUGUGCUGCUCCAGCCCGNNNNNNNNNNNNNNNNNNNNACCUGGGGGACAGUGGGGGGACCCCAGAGCCUGGCUCCUCUGUGUGGGGGGGCUCAGAGAACCAGCAGGGAGCAUCUCAGCAGUGCCCCCACCCUCCUGAACUAAAUGCAGAACUCGGGGACAAAGCCUCCAAGUGCCCAUGGCCGGGGGUGUCCUGGCAGCCGGGGGGGCCCUGGAGCUUGGGGCUGCGGCCACGGGGGGCUGGCAGCAGGGUGGUGCCACUGAGGGUAAGCGCCGGGCUGGGAAACGGGGCUGCCCAAAGCUGGGGGUGGCAGCACGUAGCCCCGGGCCCAGCAGGAGCAAAGUUAGCGCAGGAGCUGCCCUGGGGCUGCUGGCUGCACUUUGCCUCGGGACGUGCCCUGGCUCUGCUCGUCCAUCGGGGUGAGCAGCUCCAGCCCCCGACUUUCCCCUGGUCCCUUCCUGCGCGGCUCCUGCAGGGGCUGUCCCCCUGCUCCCAGCAACCUGCUCCUGUGGCUGGGGCAAUCAGAGGCCGUUGA